RNA transcript from Populus nigra (black poplar), 877 nucleotides. It is a transcript of the gene named plastid division protein CDP1, chloroplastic-like, with no coding region annotated. Lineage: Eukaryota; Viridiplantae; Streptophyta; Magnoliopsida; Malpighiales; Salicaceae. The record is from RefSeq and is a predicted model, not a curated record. The transcript has 3 exons.
UGCAAAAACUUUAACACAGCAACGGUUCUCUAGAUCUCACUGCCUCAUUAGUCUAAUCUAUUUCUCUCAUAUUUAACGAACAAAUCUUAAUUUAAUUGACAAAAUCAAAGCCCAUAAUCUCUCCCCUCCUUCCUCCAAAAAUUCAAGCGUUUCUACCAUCAUCUCCAAUAUAGCAGCAACUGCUGCAACUAAGCCACUACUAGCAGCUGCAGCUUUUCAUGGUUUAGCAAGAAGGAAAAAUGGCAGUGUCUACUUUGAAUGUGACUCCGACGAUUCUUUCUUCCUUUUCUUCUUCUCGUUGGUGGUACUGUUAUUUAUAUCGAAAUCCCGAGGUCAGUUUUAACAGAAAAAGCGAUUGUCCAAAACGCUCUCUGCUUUGCUCGGGUUUUGUUAAAAAAACUGCUUCCUCCUCCUCCUUUGGAAUUGGAGUAUCUGUUUCCAGGUUUUCGAGAAAGAGUGAUUUCGAAUCCAACAACAGCAAGUGGAUUUUGAAUGCCACUACUGAUACUCGCAUUCUUGACAAUGCCGCGGCUACAGCCACUGUUGAAAUCCCCGUCACUUGUUAUCAGUUGAAUGAAGUGGCAGGUUGUUGGUGUUCCUGAUAAGGCAGAGAAGGAUGAGAUUAUUAAGUCGGUGAUGCAAUUGAAAAAUGCUCAAAGGAAGAGGGUUAUACCUUGGAUGCUGUUAUGUCUCGGCAGGAUCUUCUAAUGGAUGCAAGGGAUAAGCUUCUUUUUGAACCAGAAUAUGCUGGGAAUGGGAGGGAGAAGAUCCCACCUAAAUCCUCUCUGCGAAUUCCAUGGGCUUGGUUGUCUGGUGCCCUUUGCCUGCUUCAAGAGGUACAAGUCUGUGAUGUCUUAUCAAAUAUGCUGGUGCUUUC